This 87-nucleotide transfer RNA is filed under the name Desarmillaria tabescens. RNAcentral's name for it is "Armillaria tabescens (ringless honey mushroom) tRNA". It matches the Rfam family "tRNA". Rfam says of the family: Transfer RNA (tRNA) molecules are approximately 80 nucleotides in length. Their secondary structure includes four short double-helical elements and three loops (D, anti-codon, and T loops). The record is from Rfam by way of RNAcentral. Lineage: Eukaryota; Fungi; Basidiomycota; Agaricomycetes; Agaricales; Physalacriaceae.
GCCCGUGUAGCUCAGUGGUAGAGCAUUGUACUUAUGAGGAUAUCUACCCCUAUGCAAGGGUCUCGAGUUCGAAUCUCGGCAUGGGCA